GCGCGAAAACUUUACAAUGCGGGAAACCGUGAUAAGGGAACCUCGAGUGCCUGUAUAUGCAGGCUGUCCAGGUGUCUAAAAAACACCUGAAGAAAGGGCCGGGCAAGACCGGUGCCAGCCGCCGCGGUAAUACCGGCGGCUCGAGUGGUGGCCACUUUUAUUGGGCUUAAAGCGUUCGUAGCUGGGUUGUUAAGUCUCUUGGGAAAUCUGACGGCUCAACCGUCAGGCGUCCAAGGGAUACUGGCAAUCUUGGAACCGGGAGAGGUGAGGGGUACUUCGGGGGUAGGAGUGAAAUCCUGUAAUCCUCGAGGGACCACCUGUGGCGAAGGCGCCUCACCAGAACGGCUUCGACAGUGAGGGACGAAAGCUGGGGGAGCAAACCGG
RNAcentral lists this ribosomal RNA (384 nucleotides) under uncultured archaeon. Its description in RNAcentral is "bacterial SSU rRNA". It matches the Rfam family "Archaeal small subunit ribosomal RNA", at positions 339 to 727 of the family's 1478-position model. The record is from RNAcentral.